RNAcentral lists this ribosomal RNA (301 nucleotides) under uncultured bacterium. RNAcentral's name for it is "partial 16S ribosomal RNA". It matches the Rfam family "Bacterial small subunit ribosomal RNA", at positions 509 to 809 of the family's 1533-position model. The record is from RNAcentral.
CAGCAGCCGCGGGAAUACGAAGGGGGCUAGCGUUGCUCGGAAUGACUGGGCGUAAAGGGCGCGUAGGCGGAUGGCACAGUCAGAUGUGAAAUUCCCGGGCUUAACCUGGGGGCUGCAUUUGAUACGUGUCGUCUAGAGUGAGGAAGAGGGUCGUGGAAUUCCCAGUGUAGAGGUGAAAUUCGUAGGUAUUGGGAAGAACACCGGUGGCGAAGGCGGCGAUCUGGUCCCUGACUGACGCUGAGGCGCGAAAGCGUGGGGAGCAAACAGGAUUAGAUACCCCUGUAUCCCUGUCUCUUAUACA